This 484-nucleotide ribosomal RNA is filed under the name uncultured bacterium. RNAcentral describes it as "partial 16S ribosomal RNA". It matches the Rfam family "Bacterial small subunit ribosomal RNA", at positions 28 to 523 of the family's 1533-position model. The record is from RNAcentral.
GACGAACGCUGGCGGCGUGCUUAACACACGCAAGUCGAACGAUGCACCCGGAGCUUGCUCCGGUGGAUUAGUGGCGAACGGGUGAGUAACACGUGAGUAACCUGCCCUUGACUCUGGGAUCACAUCGGGAAACUGUAGCUACUACCGGCUACGACCCCCGCCGGCCUCGCCCGGGGGUGGAAAGAAUUCCGGUCAAGGAUGGCCUCGCGGCCGAGCAGCUAGUUGGGGAGGUAACGGCUCACCAAGGGGACGACGGGUAGCCGGCCUGAGCGGGUGGCCGGCCACACGGGGACUGAGGCACGGCGCAGGCUGCUACGGGGGGGAGCAGUGGGGAAUAUUGCACAAUGGGCGCAAGCCUGAUGCAGCAACGCCGCGUGAGGGAUGACGGCCUUCGGGUUGUAAACCGCUUUUAGUAGGGAAGAAGCGAAAGUGACGGUACCUGCAGAAAAAGCACCGGCUAACUACGUGCCAGCCGCCGCCGUAA